AGAGUUUGAUCAUGGCUCAGGACGAACGCUGGCGGCGCGCCUAACACAUGCAAGUCGAACGGAGUUGUGUUGAAAGCUUGCUGGAUAUACAACUUAGUGGCGGACGGGUGAGUAACACGUGAGUAACCUGCCUUUCAGAGUGGAAUAACGUUUGGAAACGGACGCUAAUACCGCAUGAUAUAGUUUCCGCGG
RNAcentral lists this ribosomal RNA (192 nucleotides) under uncultured bacterium. RNAcentral describes it as "partial 16S ribosomal RNA". It matches the Rfam family "Bacterial small subunit ribosomal RNA", at positions 8 to 194 of the family's 1533-position model. The record is from RNAcentral.